Molecule: long non-coding RNA, 2335 nt
Organism: Lates calcarifer (barramundi perch)
Lineage: Eukaryota; Metazoa; Chordata; Actinopteri; Centropomidae
Exons: 3
Source: RefSeq, a predicted model, not a curated record
CCACCUGCUCAGCACCAAACAACAGACACGGUCAGAGAAUAGCUGGUGAACAUUUGGCUGCUAAUCACCCAGAGAUUUCCCUCAGGAUUUUAUCAAGUAAGAAUAUUUCAGUUUGUUCACAGCAUGUUGUGCUGCACCAAAAGGUCCAAAAAAAUCAAUUAAUCAAUUAUUUAACACAAAGUCUUAGAUGAGGUCAGACCACAUAUACUGUAUUCACAAGGUGCACACAGUCAUGCCAUUUUCAAUUUAGUCAAAUUAUUACAGAUCCAAAUUUUUUUCUCCUUUUUUCCACACAGGAGAUUGACUUUGAUUUAAAAUGUCACAGCCUUAUAAUGUGAUGUGAUUUGAAAGAUCUCUCUUCAUCUUGUUUUUAACAGGUAUAGCUGGUCAUAGCAGACCUGGUGUUUUUAUAUUUAAUGCAGCGUCUGGAGGUCUUCCCAGCCGAGAGCUUACCUUCGCUAAGAUUGCCAAGCAACAAGGCUACGAGACGGCUCUUAUAGGAACUCAGCGAGGCCUUUCCUGCUAUAUUUCUCCUUCCUCCAAGUGCACACAGCCAUGUUUGCCUCCGCAGCGUUCAGAGGAACGAGCCGUCACGGCAUCUAUGGAGACGCCGUCCAUGAGGUGGACUGGAGUGUAGUGUGUGAAUUACCUGGAGGCCUGUGUCCUGGUCUCAAAGAACUUCUUCAUUGUGUGAAGACUCUCUGUGAUCGUGGACAAAGUGGAGACACCUGGAGUAAACGCACAAAGGAAAAUGAUCAAUACACUACUGCCUAUUCCUCAUCAACAGUUCAACAUUACAGCUGAAACUGAACAUUUAACUAAAUAUUUUUAUGCUUCAUUAUAAAGUGACUUUUAUUUCUAUUUUGGUUUACUAUAACUUUUACCAUUACAUACUAUUUUUCUUUUUACAUAUUACUUCUAAAUUUACAUUUAACUUUUACUGUUGCAAACUACAUCUAGUAACAGAUUACUUUGACUUGCAUCUCACUUCUUGUUUCAAACAGUGCAAUAUCAGUACUCAAAUCCAACUAUCACUGUGUACACAGUCUUGUAUAUAUGAUGCCCUUUUCUAUUAUUGUUGUUGUUGUGACUGAUAAAAGAUUAUGUGGAUUAUAUGGAGACACUGUAGACAUACAGCUGCCGUCGGACCAGGCUGCAGGACUUUAUGCUGGUCAAUAUGUCCACUCAACGUUUUCUGGAUACUUACUGUACCUGAUGUAAGAACAUAUAAAGGUGAUAGCAGUCACAUACGAUGGUAAAUUUCACCAUAUUGAUAAGAGAAUGUAAAGGUACAAUAUAGGUCAAGUUUAAAGGUUUACAAUGAGUGGUGGCAGAAUAUCUUUAAAAAAAUGUUUUGGUAGCAUCAACAUACUUAAUUGAAUUAGUUUUUGCAUCACAUCUGUUUUUACACACACGGGUGGAGUAUCAGAAAGCAGUUAUAAAACAAUGAGCGCAGUUUGCAUAGAAAUAUUGUGAUAACCCAUGUGGUUUCUGGGUGUGAUGUUGCCGUGGAGAGCAGAGGUCAAAACCACUACCAAAUGUCUCAGUUGUCAUAAUCCUUGUAUGUUUACAUUGUGCAUUUACUCUUAUAUCCAUUCAUAUAUAAUAUAUCAGUGAUCCUGGCUGUACUGGAGUAAUUCCUGGAACAAUGAGGCUUUAUGUCGCAGAAUCGUAUUCACUUUUCACUUUACAGUUAUAAACUGUACACUAGGCACAUAUGAUCAUAUUGGUUUAAUUGUACAAUGCCUUUACUCACAGUUAUCGUAACAUACAUUUGGGUUACGUAUUAGGGGUCAUCAUACAGUUAUUAAGUUAUUGUUAUAUACUAUAUGUUGUUCAGAAAAUGCAGGUUUCGACAACAGCAUCCUUUGUCUCAAAGUCUUUUUGGAUAUUUUAUCCAAUUUCAUCCUGUGUCCAGAACAGAAAAAAAUAUUUGGAACCAUUGUUUGAUACUUUUCUUUUGACCAUUUGCUGUCACAGAUUUGUUUUGUUUGUACUAAAUAUGAAUUCUUUAAGUGGUUUUCGUCAGCUUGUCAGUACUCUCUGUAAUGUAUUUAUUGUUUUUUGUUGGAGUAGAUGAGAGAAUUCAUGCCAAAAUGCAGAACACAUGUAUUUUCUGUGGCAAAAAAUAAGACAAAUAUUGAAGAAAGCUCAUACCCAUAUCAAAGUGUAAUAAUCAAUGUGUCAGUUUUUAUUGUCAGUGAAGGUGUUCAAACUUUUAGAAUGAAAUUCUUUUACAACUUUUUCCCUCCUUUUUGUUCUUUUUAACAUAUUUUAACAAAAUAUGUGAAUUUUGGUCUGUGUUGCUUUUACUGGUGACUUUUAAUAAAGAAAG